UCUAAUAUGGCAGACAAGUGCAAUGGAUUUUAUAAAGCUCCAUAAAGGUUUAUGCCUUUUGUUAGAA
Molecule: transfer RNA, 67 nt
Filed under: Malenka flexura
Lineage: Eukaryota; Metazoa; Arthropoda; Insecta; Plecoptera; Nemouridae
Description: tRNA-Leu
Source: RNAcentral